GUCCGAGUGGCGGAAUCGGUAGACGCGCUAGCUUGAGGUGCUAGUGCCUAAUUAAACGGGCGUAGGGGUUCAAGUCCCCUCUCGGACACCA
Molecule: transfer RNA, 91 nt
Filed under: Actinomyces sp.
Lineage: Bacteria; Bacillati; Actinomycetota; Actinomycetes; Actinomycetales; Actinomycetaceae
Also listed under: 1 other name
Description: tRNA-Leu(gag)
Rfam family: tRNA
About the family: Transfer RNA (tRNA) molecules are approximately 80 nucleotides in length. Their secondary structure includes four short double-helical elements and three loops (D, anti-codon, and T loops).
Source: RNAcentral